UACAGAGGGUGCAAGCGUUAAUCGGAAUAACUGGGCGUAAAGGGUGUGUAGGUGGUUUGUUGAGUUCACUGUGAAAGUUCUAGGCUUAACCUGGAAAGGCCGGUGAAGACGGACGAACUAGAGAACGGUAGAGGGUAGAGGAAUUUCCGGAGUAGCGGUGAAAUGCGUAGAUCCCGGAAGGAACACCGGUGGCGAAGGCGUCUACCUGGACUGUAUCUGACACUGAGACACGAAGGCGUGGGUAGCGAACAGG
RNAcentral lists this unclassified non-coding RNA (253 nucleotides) under uncultured Gammaproteobacteria bacterium. Its description in RNAcentral is "contains 16S-23S intergenic spacer region". It matches the Rfam family "Bacterial small subunit ribosomal RNA", at positions 524 to 776 of the family's 1533-position model. The record is from RNAcentral. Lineage: Bacteria; Pseudomonadati; Pseudomonadota; Gammaproteobacteria.